UACGUAGGGUGCAAGCGUUGUUCGGAAUCAUUGGGCGUAAAGCGCGUGUAGGUGGUUAAGUAAGUCGGAUGUGAAAGCCCUCGGCUCAACCGGGGAAGUGCAUCCGAAACUACAUAGCUAGAGGACGGUAGAGGAAGGUGGAAUUCCUAGUGUAGAGGUGAAAUUCGUAGAUAUUAGGAGGAAUACCGGCGGCGAAGGCGGCCUUCUGGGCCGUUCCUGACACUGAGACGCGAAAGCGUGGGGAGCAAACAGG
RNAcentral lists this ribosomal RNA (253 nucleotides) under uncultured bacterium. Its description in RNAcentral is "partial 16S ribosomal RNA". It matches the Rfam family "Bacterial small subunit ribosomal RNA", at positions 524 to 776 of the family's 1533-position model. The record is from RNAcentral.